AUUGAACGCUGGCGGCAGGCCUAACACAUGCAAGUCGAGCGAGCGGCGGACGGGUGAGUAAUGUCUGGGGACUGCCCGAUAGAGGGGGAUAACUACUGGAAACGGUGGCUAAUACCGCAUACUAUCGGAUAACCCAUAUGGGAUUAGCUAGUAGGUGGGGUAAAGGCUCACCUAGGCGACGAUCUCUAGCUGGUCUGAGAGGAUGAUAAGCACGUCUGGAACUGCGACACGGACAAGACUCCUACGGAGGCAGCAGUGGAGAAUAUUGCACAAUGGGCGCAAGAAUGAUGCAGCCAGGCCGCGUGUAGGAAGAAGGCCUUAGGGUUGUAAAGUACUUUCAGCGGGGAGGCGUUACCCGGAGAGGAAGCACCGGCUAACUCCGUGCCAGCAGCCGCGGUAAUAC
Molecule: ribosomal RNA, 403 nt
Filed under: uncultured bacterium
Lineage: Bacteria
Description: partial 16S ribosomal RNA
Rfam family: Bacterial small subunit ribosomal RNA
Source: RNAcentral